UUGAACGCUGGCGGCGGGCCUAACACAUGCAAGUCGAGCGGGGGUAGCAAUACCCUAGCGGCGAACGGGUGAGGAAUACUUGGGAAUCUGCCUCGUAGUGGGGGAUAACGUUCCGAAAGGAACGCUAAUACCGCAUACGUCCUACGGGAGAAAGGGGGGGAUCUUCGGACCUCUCGCUAUGAGAUGAGCCCAAGUCGGAUUAGCUAGUUGGUGGGGUAAUGGCCCACCAAGGCUACGAUCCGUAGCUGGUCUGAGAGGAUGAUCAGCCACACUGGAACUGGGACACGGUCCAGACUCCUACGGGAGGCAGCAGUGGGGAAUAUUGGACAAUGGGGGAAACCCUGAUCCAGCCAUGCCGCGUGUGUGAAGAAGGCCUUAGGGUUGUAAAGCACUUUAAGCGAGGAGGAAGGGCUUCGGGUUAAUACCCGGUGUGGAUGACGGUACCGUAAGAAGAAGCACCGGCUAACUACGU
Molecule: ribosomal RNA, 472 nt
Filed under: uncultured bacterium
Lineage: Bacteria
Description: bacterial SSU rRNA
Rfam family: Bacterial small subunit ribosomal RNA
Source: RNAcentral